Gadus morhua (Atlantic cod) is the source of this 2064-nucleotide long non-coding RNA. The record is from Ensembl. Lineage: Eukaryota; Metazoa; Chordata; Actinopteri; Gadiformes; Gadidae.
GAACCACUUAUGUUAGGCCUACCUUUUGUUUCAGUACCAGCAUAUGAUUUUCCAUCAGUUAAGUUCGGCGUCGCCUGGAAAUAUGAUGGAAAGGCCUGAGCGCUCUACCCGGUCAAAAGGACAGCGGGGGAAUGAAGGAGAAAGCUCCGAUAUGCCUACUGCUGUUAGUAAUAUCGAAAAUAUUCAACCACACAAAGUGCAAUGGAAGAAAAGGUCGGAAGAGCUGCAGUCCCGAAUCAAUGAGCUGGAGGAGGAGAAUGCUUUGCUCAAGCAGCAGCUUGAGCAAAGGCCUUCAGCAAAUCAAGGUGAGAAAAUGGACAACACUGCCACCGACCCAGAGUCAGACACUGACUCGAGUUCCAACUCCAGCACUGACUCCACCGAUUCCAGGAGCAGUGAUACAAGCUCUUCCUCCUCUGAUGGCCGCAAGAAAAAGAGGAAGCACAAAAAGAAAAACAAAAAGAAGAGCAAAAAGGCUUCAAAGAACAAAGGACUUCGAGGUAAAGUAAACUAUAGAGUUGUGCUGUAUUUCUUUAGGUUUGGACAUUAAAUAUAGUGUAUACAGCUUAGGGCAGAAUUAUUAGCACCCCUAUGAAAAUUUCAUUUUUCUAAAAGUACAUACUAACCCUUACCCUGCAACUAAGACAAACCACAACAAUCUUUGGGGAGAAGUAAACUGUAUAUAUAUUGGUGUUUUAUUGUUGUUAAUUUAUUUUCCAUUUUCAGUGACAACAAUAUCGGAUGUUGUUAAAAGGUACCGCCGGGUCCUUAAACUAAUUCAAAAAGGACGCAAGAUGUCGAGGGCAUUCCUGAAGGCACGUGUUUCUAGAAACGCAGUUAAAGACACCGCAGCAAUCGCGGAGCUCUACAUUGCAGAGAGGAGUGUCCUGGAUGGAAUCAAAGGCGAACAGAGGCUCCUUCAUUUAGCAAAGCUCUGCCAGUCCAAAAUUGUUGGAGAACUUGCCCUUAAAAUUGAAGAGCUGAAGAGGAAAAAAAAACUCAUACCAUUCUCCAAAAAGGGUUAAAGGGACAGGGGUGAAAGGAGAGAGUUUUUUUAAUUAAACGAUAAAUCCCGUGUAAAAUGGAUCUGGGAUAUGUUUAAUAUGAUAAUGAGAUGGGAUGUUCGUUUGGGAGCAAAAAACCACAUGCAGACGCAUUCUUAAGUUGGCUGUUUUUAGCCGAUUCUACCAAAACGCUAUAAGCUUGGAACGAUGUCUCGUGGUAAAAACAAAAUCGCUAUUUUAAACAGUUUAAAAGGCUAGAAAUAGCCCGACACUUCUUUGGUAGUAUAGUAAGGGUCUUAAAAUAUAAAACGAGGCAUUGAUAACUUUGUAAGUGUACAGAUUGUUUAUUACAAAUUACAUUUUAUACACACAAUGCCAUCAGUUGUUCACCUGUCGACGCCAUUUUGUAUUUAAGACUCGAUAUAAGUACAUUGACAAAUACAGUGAUUGUGACCUCCGGGAAGAACACGCAAGCUAAGCUCUGUGUUCGCCAUUCUACUUAUCAAGUCUUAAAUACAAGAUGGUGUUGAUGGGUGAACUUCUGAUGGUAUUGUGUGCUUAAAAUAUCAUUUUUAAUAAACAAUCUGUACACUUACAAAGUUAUCAAUGCCUCGUUUUAUAUUUUAAGACCCUUAUUAUACUACCAAAGAAGUGUCGGGCUACUUCUAUCCUUUUAAGUGGUUUAAAAUAGCAAUUUCGUUUUUACCACGAGACUUGCCCCCAUCGUUCCAAGUUUAUAGCGUUUUGGUAGAAUCGGCUAAAAACAGCCAACUUAAGAAUGCGUCUACAUUCACUUUUUUGCUCCCAAAUGAACAUCCCAUUUCGUUAUCAUGUUAAACAUAUCCCAGAUCCAUUUUACACCGGAUUUAUCCUUUAAUUUUUUUUCUUUUUUAAAAAGUUCAAAGUAAGCCUGGUUGAAGUUCUUUGACUUACUAUACAUGUACAUUGCCCUUUGAACUCUUCGCCUUUGUACCACAAUUUCUGAUUACGUUUAGUUAUUUAUUUUCAAAUAAUAAAGUUGUUUUCCGUGUCUGAUAUCCUGCUUAUGUUUUGUUUAUUU